RNAcentral lists this ribosomal RNA (253 nucleotides) under uncultured bacterium. RNAcentral describes it as "partial 16S ribosomal RNA". It matches the Rfam family "Bacterial small subunit ribosomal RNA", at positions 524 to 776 of the family's 1533-position model. The record is from RNAcentral.
UACGUAGGGUGCGAGCGUUAAUCGGAAUUACUGGGCGUAAAGCGUGCGCAGGCGGCGCGUUAAGACAGGUGUGAAAGCCCCGAGCUUAACUUGGGAAUUGCGCUUGUGACUGGCGUGCUGGAGUGUGGCAGAGGGAGGUGGAAUUCCACGUGUAGCAGUGAAAUGCGUAGAGAUGUGGAGGAACACCGAUGGCGAAGGCAGCCUCCUGGGCCAGCACUGACGCUCAUGCACGAAAGCGUGGGGAGCAAGCAGG